CUGCGGUGACGUCCUCAGCCAGGGUCGCUAACUGUGGCGACUCAGUCAUGUUGAGGCUGCCGGAGGAGGACAGGUGGCUGUCCCGGUUGCGGCUGGGGGACACCGUGCCGGACACGACUGGCGACUGGACACUGAUCUCGGCUCCUUGGUCCCCCCGGGCCUUGGCCUGGUCGCGGAACGCCAGCCUGUGGGUCUCGAUCUAAUAAAAGAAGAUGGCGCGAGGGGAGAAGUGGAUAGAAGGGAAGAAAUACACCAUGUUCGUUAUGUGUCAAAUAAAAAAUAUAGGAAUGCUUAUUUGUGAGUUCACUUGAGAUCAACUGCAAAUGAUGUUUAACUUCAGAGUCUGUUUUGAAGUCGUCACUCAAAGGACGGAUUGAGGACACUCACCGGGAUGUGGCCUCCACCAGGCAUGUGGCGAGAAUAAUCCAGGGAACCCACUUUGGCUUGGGCCUUGUCUUUAAAGUCCAACUUCACAGUCUCUAUACGCACGUGACCGCCCCCUGGGAAGAAGCAGAGUUAGUGUAAGAAACAUAUAGAGGAAUAACUACUGCAGUUGCAGGCCUCCGUUAACCACGUGUACGUCAUUUUUUUCCAGAUUCAUAUAAGGUAAUUUCAUCCUUGAUAGUAAUAAAGUCCUGAAAGAGUGUUUGUGUGCCCAGAGUCAGACACCUGACGGCCAGCAGAUGGUGCUGCAGGAGGAAAAGGAGUCACCACAAAACCAGCCCCACACAGUGGAGGGGAGAAGAAUUGAAUUCAAAGUGAUAAAUGCCCAAAACCAACUCAUGAAAACAGGCUAUGGACUGUUUAUUUAUUCGCCUGCUAUGUAGACUUAAGUGGCCUAAUAAUGAUUUCUCUCUGAUGAAUAAGGUCAACUGAAUGGAUUGAAUUUGCCCCCCGGCUCAGAGACCUUGCAUUAGCAUCGAUUCUUCUUCACACAGAUAUGAUAUCCAGAUAUAGAUUUACCAUAUCCAGAAACAGAUCGCGUGCUUAUGCAAGUGUAAACUGGAUGCUUGAGUAGGAUCUUGUAGGUUACCAGGUCGAUGAUGGAUGUUGUCAAGAGAGCCACACUUGGAGGUCACAUGGCUCAAGUCAAUCUUCUUGUACUGUAUCUGCACCUGAGAGAAACAGGAAAAACCCCAGUCAGAGCUUGCAGUUACAAAAUGAGGCUAGGAGUCAUCUAUCUUCCCUUUACGCAUUACAGAGAAGAAUAUAAUGCAUCUGAUCUGCCCUCAUCUUGAGAUUGUCUUGAACGAAAAGCUGCAGCUAUCUACAUUCUGACAGUGAGGUCAGAUUGUACUUAAUUCUUUGAAAACACGAGUAAGACAGCACAAGAGCAGAAAACCAGUGACCAUUACAUGACAGUCCUUGUGCUCUGCUGGGAGGCGACCUGCUGGUGUCUGUUCAACCAGCUCAACCAAGACUGAACACGAGCUAUGUGGGUGCCGGGACUGAACUUUGAGCUCAAAUGUGUCGGGCACUUUCAAAGGACCUGUCAGAUAUACUGUACACCACAACUCUGAUCAGUGUUUUUAGUUGAAAGUGGCCACAGGCGGAGAGUAGAUAUAUAUGCGGCUAUGUGACCCACCCUGGGGAUUUGAAGAGCAAACCCCAUGAGAGAUACUAAAGGAGUGAACCGAUGAGACAGCAAACAGAGCGGAGAUAUAAAGCUUAAAGCACAGCACAACGAACAUGAGGAGAUACACGACAAACACUGGGUCACGCCUGUGGUCAUCCAUCACUUUGCCAAGUCACAGAUUCAGCUGAAAACUAUUUUCAACAGGAAAAGUGAGAUGAACAACACUGACCAUGAGCCGCAUGAGAAGCCACGAAACCAGUCUGCACUGGAGCAUGUUCAUCUACCCAGUGUUCUUUACACAUGCACAACACCAGCAAAGAUGAGAUGUGGUUUGUGUCGGCGUGGGUGAACAUCAGGCUGCUGCUUGGCUAACUUCUCCAGCAGGGAUAUCUAGCAUUUUGUUUGAUGUUUUUCUUUAUUUUCAUUGUUUAUAAAUAAUAAAAACAUCUGGUUUUA
Molecule: long non-coding RNA, 2032 nt
Organism: Limanda limanda (common dab)
Lineage: Eukaryota; Metazoa; Chordata; Actinopteri; Pleuronectiformes; Pleuronectidae
Exons: 2
Source: RefSeq, a predicted model, not a curated record